ACUACAGGAUUUUCUUAGUAGCGGCGAGCGAAAAGAAAAUAGUUCAGCACUAAGUCACUUUGUCUUUAUGGCAAAUGUGAGAUGCAGUGUAUGGAAUGUCAAAUUUCUAGUAUGAGAAAUUAACGAUUUAAGUCCUUCUUAAAUGAGACCAUUUACCCAAAGAGGGUGCCAGGCCCGUAUAACGUUAAUGAUUACUAGAUGGCAUUUCCAAAGAGUCGUGUUGCUUGAUAGUGCAGCACUAAGUGGGUGGUAAACUCCAUCUAAAGCUAAAUAUAACCAUGAGACCGAUAGUAAACAAGUACCGUGAGGGAAAGUUGAAAAGAACUCUGAAUAGAGAGUUAAAUAGUACGUGAAACUGCUUAGAGGUUAAGCCCGAUGAACCUGAAUAUCCGUUAUGGAAAAUUCAUCUUUAUGAUUUUAAUAUUUAUAAUAUUAUAAUAAUGGUGUGCAUUUUUUCUAUAAAGGACAUUGUAAUCUAUUAACAUAAAUAUAUUUAUCAUAAGAUCAUUUGCGUAAGUUUAUUCAAAUUAUUUUGCUUGCAUUUUAAUAUCGAAUAAAUGCUUUUGAUUUGAUAAAGUGUUGAUAGAUUUAUUAUAUAUAGUGCUUAAAUAUUUAUAUUUUAUAAUAGCAUAUUGAUCAUUGAUCUUUAUGUUUAUUAUAUGCACUUAUAUGAUUAACAAUGCGAAAGAUUCAGGAUACCUUCGGGACCCGUCUUGAAAC
RNAcentral lists this ribosomal RNA (720 nucleotides) under Calliphora vomitoria. RNAcentral's name for it is "eukaryotic LSU rRNA". It matches the Rfam family "Eukaryotic large subunit ribosomal RNA", at positions 64 to 660 of the family's 3401-position model. Lineage: Eukaryota; Metazoa; Arthropoda; Insecta; Diptera; Calliphoridae. The record is from RNAcentral.